AGAAGAGCUGCCACUUGCCUCUCGCUCUCCAGGUGGACUCUGCGGUUUUUACCCCGCGGCACAAAGUAGCCAGAAUACAAAAACUUCCUGUUUGCCGCCCAGACCUUCUCCAGCUACUGAGAACUUGUUCCGGUGAUGGAGCCUCAAAGGAAUUUGUGGAUUCCUCUCCCACAAGUGUCCAGGGGCAGGGGUGCUGUGAGAAUGUGCAGUUCACAGAGGGAGUGAGAAUGGCAGUCAAAACAUGUACCAGAGCUAAGGGAAAGAAG
RNAcentral lists this non-coding RNA (266 nucleotides) under Pongo abelii (Sumatran orangutan). Lineage: Eukaryota; Metazoa; Chordata; Mammalia; Primates; Hominidae. The record is from RNAcentral.